This 489-nucleotide ribosomal RNA is filed under the name uncultured Glomus. Its description in RNAcentral is "bacterial SSU rRNA". It matches the Rfam family "Eukaryotic small subunit ribosomal RNA", at positions 569 to 1066 of the family's 1831-position model. The record is from RNAcentral. Lineage: Eukaryota; Fungi; Glomeromycota; Glomeromycetes; Glomerales; Glomeraceae.
AGCAGCCAUGGUAAUUCCAGCUCCAAUAGCAUAUAUUGAAGUUGUUGCAGUUAAAAAGCUCGUAGUUAAAUUUUGGGAUCAAUCUAUCGGUCGUGCAAUAGUACAUACUGAUUUUAUUGAUUCCUCCCUUCUGAUGAACUAUGAUGUCAUUAAUUUGGUGUCAUAGGGAAUCAGAACUGUUACUUUGAAAAAUUAGGGUGUUUAAAGCAGGCUCACGCUUGAAUACAUUAGCAUGGAAUAACGAAAUAGGACGUUUGAUUCUAUUUUGUUGGUUUCUAAGAUCGAUAUAAUGAUUAAUAGGGAUAGUUGGGGCAUUAGUAUUCAAUUGUCAGAGGUGAAAUUCUUGGAUUUAUUGAAGACUAACUAUUGCGAAAGCAUUUGCCAAGGAUGUUUUCAUUAAUCAAGAACAAAAGUUAGAGGAUCGAAGACGAUCAGAUACUGUCGUAGUCUUAACAUAAACUAUGUCGACUAGGGAUCAGAUGAUGUUUU